AGAGUUUGAUCAUGGCUCAGAAUCAACGCUGGCGGCGUGCCUAACACAUGCAAGUCGCACGAGAAAGGGUAGCAAUACCUGAGUACAGUGGCGCACGGGUGAGUAACACGUGAAUGAUCUACCUCCGAGUGGGGAAUAACCUAGAGAAAUCUGGGCUAAUACCGCAUAACACUUACGAGUCAAAGCAGCAAUGCGCUUGGAGAGGAGUUCGCGGCCGAUUAGUUAGUUGGCGGGGUAAUGGCCCACCAAGACGAUGAUCGGUAUCCGGCCUGAGAGGGCGCACGGACACACUGGAACUGAAACACGGUCCAGACUCCUACGGGAGGCAGCAGUGGGGAAUUUUGCGCAAUGGGGGAAACCCUGACGCAGCAACGCCGCGUGGAGGAUGAAAUCCCUUGGGAUGUAAACUCCUUUCGAUCGGGACGAUUAUGACGGUACCGGAAGAAGAAGCCCCGGUUAACUUCGUGCCAGCAGCCGCGGUAAUACGAGGGGGGCAAGCGUUGUUCGGAAUUAUUGGGCGUAAAGGGCGCGUAGGCGGUUUGACAAGUCUGAUGUGAAAUCUCUGGGCUCAACCCAGAGUCUGCGUUAGAAACUGUCGGGCUUGAGUAUGGGAGAGGUGAGUGGAAUUUCCGGUGUAGCGGUGAAAUGCGUAGAUAUCGGAAGGAACACCUGUGGCGAAAGCGGCUCACUGGACCAUAACUGACGCUGAGGCGCGAAAGCUAGGGGAGCAAACAGGAUUAGAUACCCUAGUAGUCC
Molecule: ribosomal RNA, 756 nt
Filed under: uncultured bacterium
Lineage: Bacteria
Description: bacterial SSU rRNA
Rfam family: Bacterial small subunit ribosomal RNA
Source: RNAcentral